This is a non-coding RNA of Rhamnusium bicolor, 76 nucleotides long. The record is from the annotation of a GenBank genome assembly. Lineage: Eukaryota; Metazoa; Arthropoda; Insecta; Coleoptera; Cerambycidae.
GGCUUCAUAGUCGAAUGGUAAGGACACUUGCCUCUCACUCCUGGGGUACCGGGUUCAAUCCCUGGUGGAGGAGCUA